Molecule: ribosomal RNA, 1469 nt
Filed under: Lacticaseibacillus casei
Lineage: Bacteria; Bacillati; Bacillota; Bacilli; Lactobacillales; Lactobacillaceae
Description: bacterial SSU rRNA
Rfam family: Bacterial small subunit ribosomal RNA
Source: RNAcentral
GGCGGCGUGCCUAAUACAUGCAAGUCGAACGAGUUCUCGUUGAUGAUCGGUGCUUGCACCGAGAUUCAACAUGGAACGAGUGGCGGACGGGUGAGUAACACGUGGGUAACCUGCCCUUAAGUGGGGGAUAACAUUUGGAAACAGAUGCUAAUACCGCAUAGAUCCAAGAACCGCAUGGUUCUUGGCUGAAAGAUGGCGUAAGCUAUCGCUUUUGGAUGGACCCGCGGCGUAUUAGCUAGUUGGUGAGGUAAUGGCUCACCAAGGCGAUGAUACGUAGCCGAACUGAGAGGUUGAUCGGCCACAUUGGGACUGAGACACGGCCCAAACUCCUACGGGAGGCAGCAGUAGGGAAUCUUCCACAAUGGACGCAAGUCUGAUGGAGCAACGCCGCGUGAGUGAAGAAGGCUUUCGGGUCGUAAAACUCUGUUGUUGGAGAAGAAUGGUCGGCAGAGUAACUGUUGUCGGCGUGACGGUAUCCAACCAGAAAGCCACGGCUAACUACGUGCCAGCAGCCGCGGUAAUACGUAGGUGGCAAGCGUUAUCCGGAUUUAUUGGGCGUAAAGCGAGCGCAGGCGGUUUUUUAAGUCUGAUGUGAAAGCCCUCGGCUUAACCGAGGAAGCGCAUCGGAAACUGGGAAACUUGAGUGCAGAAGAGGACAGUGGAACUCCAUGUGUAGCGGUGAAAUGCGUAGAUAUAUGGAAGAACACCAGUGGCGAAGGCGGCUGUCUGGUCUGUAACUGACGCUGAGGCUCGAAAGCAUGGGUAGCGAACAGGAUUAGAUACCCUGGUAGUCCAUGCCGUAAACGAUGAAUGCUAGGUGUUGGAGGGUUUCCGCCCUUCAGUGCCGCAGCUAACGCAUUAAGCAUUCCGCCUGGGGAGUACGACCGCAAGGUUGAAACUCAAAGGAAUUGACGGGGGCCCGCACAAGCGGUGGAGCAUGUGGUUUAAUUCGAAGCAACGCGAAGAACCUUACCAGGUCUUGACAUCUUUUGAUCACCUGAGAGAUCAGGUUUCCCCUUCGGGGGCAAAAUGACAGGUGGUGCAUGGUUGUCGUCAGCUCGUGUCGUGAGAUGUUGGGUUAAGUCCCGCAACGAGCGCAACCCUUAUGACUAGUUGCCAGCAUUUAGUUGGGCACUCUAGUAAGACUGCCGGUGACAAACCGGAGGAAGGUGGGGAUGACGUCAAAUCAUCAUGCCCCUUAUGACCUGGGCUACACACGUGCUACAAUGGAUGGUACAACGAGUUGCGAGACCGCGAGGUCAAGCUAAUCUCUUAAAGCCAUUCUCAGUUCGGACUGUAGGCUGCAACUCGCCUACACGAAGUCGGAAUCGCUAGUAAUCGCGGAUCAGCACGCCGCGGUGAAUACGUUCCCGGGCCUUGUACACACCGCCCGUCACACCAUGAGAGUUUGUAACACCCGAAGCCGGUGGCGUAACCCUUUUAGGGAGCGAGCCGUCUAAGGUGGGACA